AGUGAACGCUGGCGAUAGGCCUAACACAUGCAAGUCGAACGGCAGCACAGUAAGAGCUUGCUCUUACGGGUGGCGAGUGGCGGACGGGUGAGGAAUACAUCGGAAUCUACUUUUUCGUGGGGGAUAACGUAGGGAAACUUACGCUAAUACCGCAUACGAUCUACGGGUGAAAGCAGGGGAUCUUCGGACCUUGCGCGAUUGAAUGAGCCGAUGUCGGAUUAGCUAGUUGGCGGGGUAAAGGCCCACCAAGGCGACGAUCCGUAGCUGGUCUGAGAGGAUGAUCAGCCACACUGGAACUGAGACACGGUCCAGACUCCUACGGGAGGCAGCAGUGGGGAAUAUUGGACAAUGGGCGCAAGCCUGAUCCAGCCAUACCGCGUGGGUGAAGAAGGCCUUCGGGUUGUAAAGCCCUUUUGUUGGGAAAGAAAAGCAGCAGGUUAAUACCCCGCUGUUCUGACGGUACCCAAAGAAUAAGCACCGGCUAACUUCGUG
Molecule: ribosomal RNA, 492 nt
Filed under: uncultured bacterium
Lineage: Bacteria
Description: partial 16S ribosomal RNA
Rfam family: Bacterial small subunit ribosomal RNA
Source: RNAcentral